GGGAACAUGAGCGUGGGGUGAAGAGAAUUCAAAUGAAAAACAGAAUUCAAAUGAAAAACGCAGUAGAAUCAAGGACAUUGCAACUUUGGCCUUUAAAUAUCGCAAGGUCUUGACCCAUGUAUGUUCGAGGACCCAUCCAAAGGGAAAGAAAGUUGGUUGAAGUUUGAUGCUUUAGAAACUCCGUUGCUAAAUCUUUAUAGUUUAAACUCAUUCGCAUCUUCACCCCAUAUCUCAAGAUCACGGUGGAUAAGAACCACUGGUACAAUCAACAUUACACGCAAACUCAAAUUUCCAACUCUCGUUUCCUUUUUAACCAUUCGAUUAAGCGUACUUGUUGUAUAAAAUCACAUUUACCUUGUCGUAUAUGAAGCAAGCAGAAACAUCUCAGUUACCAUUUUAGACGAGGUAGACCAUCUGAAUCUGGGUUGUUAGUUACCAAAUACUUCAUGGGCUUCCUUUUUUGAAGUAACGAAGUACCGAUUGAGGCCUUUGGAAGGGAGAUUCCCUUAGAACAACCGCAGAAUUUCGGCGAUUCAGGAAUCUGGGACUCCACAACCAAGCUACUCCCAAAUGCUGUUCGAGAAAUCACAUCAGCAGCCAUUUGUUGUAGAUAAGGCAUUACGUCUAACUCACACGAUCCGUUCUCGAAGACCAUGCUUUCCCAUUUGCUAACCAUGUCAUAGCAGCUAUGAUAGAAUGCUGGUACCAUAACCUGUAAGCCAAUUUAAGGUAUGUAUGUUCCAUCUUAAAAUAUUCACCGUACAAUAUGAUUCCAAGUAUUGCUGAUAGGAGGUAGUCAUGCACAAGUAUUCAACAACUUUUUCUGUGAUAAGAUACCUUAAGCUUUUCUAAGUGAAAUGCAGGAUUGAUUAUCUUUCUGUGUUUCACCCAUUUUUCUCCUUCAUGGUUUAUAAGUCCAUUUGUAAGCAGCUUGAGAUGGGGAUACAUAAGUGGCUUCUGGAUAUCAUUGAUCAAU
Molecule: non-coding RNA, 976 nt
Organism: Cucurbita pepo subsp. pepo (vegetable marrow)
Lineage: Eukaryota; Viridiplantae; Streptophyta; Magnoliopsida; Cucurbitales; Cucurbitaceae
Source: RefSeq, a predicted model, not a curated record